AACGAACGCUGGCGGCAUGCCUAACACAUGCAAGUCGAACGAGACCUUCGGGUCUAGUGGCGCACGGGUGCGUAACGCGUGGGAACCUGCCCUUAGGUUCGGAAUAACUCCCCGAAAGGGGUGCUAAUACCGGAUAAUGUCUUCGGACCAAAGAUUUAUCGCCUUUGGAUGGGCCCGCGUUGGAUUAGCUAGUUGGUAGGGUAAAAGCCUACCAAGGCGACGAUCCAUAGCUAGUCUGAGAGGAUGAUCAGCCACACUGGGGCUGAGACACGGCCCAGACGCGCGGGGGCGGCAGGAGUGGGGAAUAGUGGAGGGGGGGACAAGGCGUGCGCGAGCGCGGGGGCGGGAGUGAGGAUGGUGUUAGGGUGGUACAUCUGUUUUCCAGGAGAUAAUACGAGCAGUGGGGGAAGAAUAGCCUCCGGCGAACUCCGUGCAGGCAGACGCGGUAAAGGAUGGAAGAGCAACGUCAGAAC
RNAcentral lists this ribosomal RNA (473 nucleotides) under uncultured bacterium. RNAcentral describes it as "partial 16S ribosomal RNA". It matches the Rfam family "Bacterial small subunit ribosomal RNA", at positions 35 to 539 of the family's 1533-position model. The record is from RNAcentral.